UACGUAGGUGGCGAGCGUUGUCCGGAUUUACUGGGCGUAAAGCGCGCGCAGGCGGCUGGUCAAGUCCGAUGUGAAAGCUCCCGGCUUAACUGGGAAAUUGCAUCGGAAACUGAUCGGCUGGAAGGUGGGAGAGGGUAGCGGAAUUCCCGGUGUAGUGGUGAAAUGCGUAGAUAUCGGGAGGAACACCAGUGGCGAAAGCGGCUACCUGGCCCAUUCUUGACGCUGAGGCGCGAAAGCUAGGGGAGCAAACGGG
This 253-nucleotide ribosomal RNA is filed under the name uncultured bacterium. RNAcentral describes it as "partial 16S ribosomal RNA". It matches the Rfam family "Bacterial small subunit ribosomal RNA", at positions 524 to 776 of the family's 1533-position model. The record is from RNAcentral.